Molecule: ribosomal RNA, 254 nt
Filed under: uncultured bacterium
Lineage: Bacteria
Description: partial 16S ribosomal RNA
Rfam family: Bacterial small subunit ribosomal RNA
Source: RNAcentral
UACGUAGGGCGCAAGCGUUGUCCGGAAUUAUUGGGCGUAAAGAGCUCGUAGGCGGUUUGUCGCGUCUGCUGUGAAAUCCUCAGGCUCAACUUGGGGGCGUGCAGUGGGUACGGGCAGACUAGAGUGCGGUAGGGGAGACUGGAAUUCCUGGUGUAGCGGUGGAAUGCGCAGAUAUCAGGAGGAACACCAGUAGCGAAGGCGGGUCUCUGGGCCGGAACUGACGCUGAGGAGCGAAAGCGUGGGGAGCGAACAGG